UAACACGUGGGCAACCUGCCCUGAAGCGGGGGAUAACAUCUGGAAACAGGUGCUAAUACCGCAUAACAACGAAAACCACAUGGUUUUCGUUUCAAAGAUGGUUUCGGCUAUCACUUCAGGAUGGGCCCGCGGUGCAUUAGCUAGUUGGUAAGGUAACGGCUUACCAAGGCGAUGAUGCAUAGCCGAGUUGAGAGACUGAUCGGCCACAAUGGAACUGAGACACGGUCCAUACUCCUACGGGAGGCAGCAGUG
RNAcentral lists this ribosomal RNA (252 nucleotides) under uncultured Lactobacillus sp. RNAcentral's name for it is "partial 16S ribosomal RNA". It matches the Rfam family "Bacterial small subunit ribosomal RNA", at positions 111 to 356 of the family's 1533-position model. Lineage: Bacteria; Bacillati; Bacillota; Bacilli; Lactobacillales; Lactobacillaceae. The record is from RNAcentral.